CCGAACCGACUAAUGUUGAAAAAUUAGCGGAUGACCUGUGGCUGGGGGUGAAAGGCCAAUCAAACCGGGAGAUAGCUGGUUCUCCCCGAAAGCUAUUUAGGUAGCGCCUCGUGAAUUCAUCUCCGGGGGUAGAGCACUGUUUCGGCUAGGGGGCCAUCCCGGCUUACCAACCCGAUGCAAACUGCGAAUACCGGAGAAUGUUAUCACGGGAGACACACGGCGGGUGCUAACGUCCGUCGUGAAGAGGGAAACAACCCAGACCGCCAGCUAAGGUCCCAAAGUCAUGGUUAAGUGGGAAACGAUGUGGGAAGGCCCAGACAGCCAGGAUGUUGGCUUAGAAGCAGCCAUCAUUUAAAGAAAGCGUAAUAGCUCACUGGUCGAGUCGGCCUGCGCGGAAGAUGUAACGGGGCUAAACCAUGCACCGAAGCUGCGGCAGCGACACUGUGUGUUGUUGGGUAGGGGAGCGUUCUGUAAGCCUGUGAAGGUGUGUCGUGAGGCAUGCUGGAGGUAUCAGAAGUGCGAAUGCUGACAUAAGUAACGAUAAAGCGGGUGAAAAGCCCGCUCGCCGGAAGACCAAGGGUUCCUGUCCAACGUUAAUCGGGGCAGGGUGAGUCGACCCCUAAGGCGAGGCCGAAAGGCGUAGUCGAUGGGAAACGGGUUAAUAUUCCCGUACUUGGUGUUACUGCGAAGGGGGGACGGAGAAGGCUAUGUUGGCCGGGCGACGGUUGUCCCGGUUUAAGCGUGUAGGCUGGUUUUCCAGGCAAAUCCGGAAAAUCAAGGC
RNAcentral lists this ribosomal RNA (781 nucleotides) under Salmonella enterica. RNAcentral describes it as "partial 23S ribosomal RNA". It matches the Rfam family "Bacterial large subunit ribosomal RNA", at positions 774 to 1556 of the family's 2925-position model. The record is from RNAcentral. Lineage: Bacteria; Pseudomonadati; Pseudomonadota; Gammaproteobacteria; Enterobacterales; Enterobacteriaceae.